GUGCCAGCCGCCGCGGUAAUACGUAGGUGGCAAGCGUUAUCCGGAAUUAUUGGGCGUAAAGCGCGCGUAGGCGGUUUUUUAAGUCUGAUGUGAAAGCCCACGGCUCAACCGUGGAGGGUCAUUGGAAACUGGAAAACUUGAGUGCGGAAGAGGAAAGUGGAAUUCCAUGUGUAGCGGUGAAAUGCGCAGAGAUAUGGAGGAACACCAGUGGCGAAGGCGACUUUCUGGUCUGUAACUGACGCUGAUGUGCGAAAGCGUGGGGAUCAAACAGGAUUAGAUAC
Molecule: ribosomal RNA, 281 nt
Filed under: uncultured Staphylococcus sp.
Lineage: Bacteria; Bacillati; Bacillota; Bacilli; Caryophanales; Staphylococcaceae
Description: partial 16S ribosomal RNA
Rfam family: Bacterial small subunit ribosomal RNA
Source: RNAcentral